CCAGCAACUUGAAGGAAUGUAUAGCGAAAGCUAAUUGUAUUAAAUAUAUACAAUACCGAUUUAUUCGGCUAAAAUUCUGGGUAGAGUUUUGAUGAUGACAUUACCUACCUAUAUGUCUUGACCAAAUUCUGUGCCAGCAGUCGCGGCAAUACAAAGAAGACUUGUGUUAUUCAUGUUUAGUCGGUUUAAAGGGUAACUAGACGGUAAAUCAAGCCAUAUUGGGACUAAUUUACUUGAGUUUAAUAUAAGGGAGCAUUAAAGUACUGAUGGUGUAGAGAUGAAAUUCGUUGAUACCAUAUAUGGCACAGGUUUAGGCGAAAGCAUCUCCUUAUGUAAAAACUGACGUUCAGGGACGAAGGCUAUGUGCAGCGAAUAGGAUUAGAUACCCUAGUAGUUUUAGCAGAAAAUGAUGAAUGUCAUAGGGUAGUAAAUAAAUAUAGAUGUGAAGUAGUGGUAUUCUUCAAUACCUUUGAAGUAGUAGUAUGCUUCAAUCCCAUUGAAAUAGUGGUAUGCUUCAAUGGGAAUGUUUCAAUCCCAAUCUAUAUUGUUAUUCUAUAAAUGAAAGUGUAAGCAUUCCACCUCAUGAGUAAUUUGGCAACAUUGGAAUUGAAAUCAUUAGACCGUUUCUGAUACAAGCAGUGAAGUAUGUUAUUUAAUUUGAUAAUCCGCAAAAAACCUUACCACAUUUUGAAUAUACCUUUAAAGUAUUACAAGUGCUGCAUGGUUGUCUUCAGUUAAUGUCGUGAGACUUUG
Molecule: ribosomal RNA, 753 nt
Filed under: Leprocaulon quisquiliare
Lineage: Eukaryota; Fungi; Ascomycota; Lecanoromycetes; Leprocaulales; Leprocaulaceae
Description: SSU rRNA
Rfam family: Bacterial small subunit ribosomal RNA
Source: RNAcentral